AGGUACAUUGUGCGGUAAAAUUAACGUAUUUUCCAGCAGUGUGGGGUUUUUUGGGUACUGUGGGGUUAACCCCAUAAUGAAGAGGUCUAAUUACGUUCAAAAUUACUCUAUGAGGUCGAAAAACCUAAAAUUAGAUUUAACCUCACAAAGACUUUGUCCAAAUUUUGGACAUGUCCUUAGCCCAAAACGCUCAGACAUUCAGAAAUCUGCUGUUUAGAGGAGUUCGGUAAUUGAAUCGAGGAGUUCCGAAUACCUGAACAUGCGCAUAUAUUUAAAACUAACUGCGCAUGCGCAGAUUACGGAAGUAGCUGUGUUUGGACACUUUGUAUUAGCAGUGAGGAAAUUCGGAAACACAAAAAGCAAAUGCAAGGUCUGCAAUGAAAAUCGACCGAUACCCGGGGGUCGGGCUAGUGGUUUUCUGCAUGAAGGUCGCCCCGUUGGCCAGUAAAAAAAGAUAAUAUUAUUUAUACACAUGCAAUACGUGCAAAGCACACCUGAGUUCAGAUACCACUGAAAGUGAACAUCAGUGGAACUUUGAUGAUCUAGGCCACUCUAUUGUUGCAGCAACACCAGCAGGCGUCGGACAUUCAUAAAGUUGAAAGAACAAACCUAUGACUUGAACACACAAUUUGUGAUCUGAAUAUAGUUCACAAAUUUAAGGAAAGCAACUAUUAAAGACAUCCAGAUCGAUGGUAUACAUGAAGUAUGAGUUAAAGACUUUUCAGAAGAACAAGCACAAUCCCGAUUCAUUUUUGCCAUUGCCUUCUCCAAACGGCGACAUUCAGGACCUGACUUACUUUUCAGAAAAAGAAGAUGAAUCGAUUUUUGAAAGUUAAUCUAAAAAGAUAACAUUUACAUGGGUCGUGGAUUUGAAUUACAUUUUCUUGAUGUGCAACUAGUUUCAAGUAUUUGGAUGUCUAUUCUCAAGUUACUGCAAACCUUAAAUUAACUUCUUGAUUAUUAGUUAAAUGUGAGACCGUGUCAACUUGAAGUAAUCAUUUUUUGAAUUGAGCUAUGUAAUCUCUGAUUACUUAUGUUUAUGAGUAGUGUUCAGCUUUAAGACAAAAGGAUCUUUUAUGAACAUUGCAUUCGGCAUGCGAAUUUCUAUACAUUAACAGUCAUAGUUUUCGUCUUUUUUAAUUAGCGAUCUCAUUUUAAAUGUGAGAAAUAAUUAUUAAACUGAAAUGUACAUUUACGUUGUUUGAUUUUAAUUUUUUGAAAAUUAUAAAUCAAUUGCAUGUUGGUUUUUUUUCAUUUUAUUUUAGGGGAUGGGAGUGGGGGUGCAGCUCUAAGUUUGAGUAUAUUUUCCAAAAGGAUGUACAUCGUUAUUUUUGUUUUAAGAUCAAUUUUAAAAUGCAAAAUGAUGAGAUAUUAGACUAAACUUUUUUUCUUAAAACUUCAUUUUA
This is a long non-coding RNA of Saccostrea cuccullata (small rock oyster), 1406 nucleotides long. RefSeq lists it as uncharacterized. NCBI's taxonomy places the organism in Eukaryota, Metazoa, Mollusca, Bivalvia, Ostreida, Ostreidae. The record is from RefSeq and is a predicted model, not a curated record. The transcript has 4 exons.